RNAcentral lists this ribosomal RNA (1540 nucleotides) under Klebsiella quasipneumoniae subsp. similipneumoniae. RNAcentral describes it as "bacterial SSU rRNA". It matches the Rfam family "Bacterial small subunit ribosomal RNA". Lineage: Bacteria; Pseudomonadati; Pseudomonadota; Gammaproteobacteria; Enterobacterales; Enterobacteriaceae. The record is from RNAcentral. RNAcentral also lists the same sequence under 1 other name.
AAAUUGAAGAGUUUGAUCAUGGCUCAGAUUGAACGCUGGCGGCAGGCCUAACACAUGCAAGUCGAGCGGUAGCACAGAGAGCUUGCUCUCGGGUGACGAGCGGCGGACGGGUGAGUAAUGUCUGGGAAACUGCCUGAUGGAGGGGGAUAACUACUGGAAACGGUAGCUAAUACCGCAUAACGUCGCAAGACCAAAGUGGGGGACCUUCGGGCCUCAUGCCAUCAGAUGUGCCCAGAUGGGAUUAGCUAGUAGGUGGGGUAACGGCUCACCUAGGCGACGAUCCCUAGCUGGUCUGAGAGGAUGACCAGCCACACUGGAACUGAGACACGGUCCAGACUCCUACGGGAGGCAGCAGUGGGGAAUAUUGCACAAUGGGCGCAAGCCUGAUGCAGCCAUGCCGCGUGUAUGAAGAAGGCCUUCGGGUUGUAAAGUACUUUCAGCGGGGAGGAAGGCGAUAAGGUUAAUAACCUUGUCGAUUGACGUUACCCGCAGAAGAAGCACCGGCUAACUCCGUGCCAGCAGCCGCGGUAAUACGGAGGGUGCAAGCGUUAAUCGGAAUUACUGGGCGUAAAGCGCACGCAGGCGGUCUGUCAAGUCGGAUGUGAAAUCCCCGGGCUCAACCUGGGAACUGCAUUCGAAACUGGCAGGCUAGAGUCUUGUAGAGGGGGGUAGAAUUCCAGGUGUAGCGGUGAAAUGCGUAGAGAUCUGGAGGAAUACCGGUGGCGAAGGCGGCCCCCUGGACAAAGACUGACGCUCAGGUGCGAAAGCGUGGGGAGCAAACAGGAUUAGAUACCCUGGUAGUCCACGCCGUAAACGAUGUCGAUUUGGAGGUUGUGCCCUUGAGGCGUGGCUUCCGGAGCUAACGCGUUAAAUCGACCGCCUGGGGAGUACGGCCGCAAGGUUAAAACUCAAAUGAAUUGACGGGGGCCCGCACAAGCGGUGGAGCAUGUGGUUUAAUUCGAUGCAACGCGAAGAACCUUACCUGGUCUUGACAUCCACAGAACUUAGCAGAGAUGCUUUGGUGCCUUCGGGAACUGUGAGACAGGUGCUGCAUGGCUGUCGUCAGCUCGUGUUGUGAAAUGUUGGGUUAAGUCCCGCAACGAGCGCAACCCUUAUCCUUUGUUGCCAGCGGUUAGGCCGGGAACUCAAAGGAGACUGCCAGUGAUAAACUGGAGGAAGGUGGGGAUGACGUCAAGUCAUCAUGGCCCUUACGACCAGGGCUACACACGUGCUACAAUGGCAUAUACAAAGAGAAGCGACCUCGCGAGAGCAAGCGGACCUCAUAAAGUAUGUCGUAGUCCGGAUUGGAGUCUGCAACUCGACUCCAUGAAGUCGGAAUCGCUAGUAAUCGUAGAUCAGAAUGCUACGGUGAAUACGUUCCCGGGCCUUGUACACACCGCCCGUCACACCAUGGGAGUGGGUUGCAAAAGAAGUAGGUAGCUUAACCUUCGGGAGGGCGCUUACCACUUUGUGAUUCAUGACUGGGGUGAAGUCGUAACAAGGUAACCGUAGGGGAACCUGCGGUUGGAUCACCUCCUUA